RNAcentral lists this ribosomal RNA (768 nucleotides) under uncultured archaeon. Its description in RNAcentral is "bacterial SSU rRNA". It matches the Rfam family "Archaeal small subunit ribosomal RNA", at positions 5 to 775 of the family's 1478-position model. The record is from RNAcentral.
CGGUUGAUCCUGCCGGAGGUUACUGCUAUCGGGGUUCGAUUAAGCCAUGCGAGUCAAAUGUUCUUCGUGAACAUGGCGAACUGCUCAGUAACACGUGGACAACUUACCCUUAGGACUGGAAUAACCCCGGGAAACUGGGGAUAAUACCAGAUAAAUCAUAGAUGCUGGAAUGCUCUAUGGUUCAAAGCUCCGGCGCCUAAGGAUGGGUCUGCGGUCUAUCAGGUAGUAGUGGGUGUAACGUACCUACUAGCCGACGACGGAUACGGGUUGUGAGAGCAAGAGCCCGGAGAUGGAUUCUGAGACACGAAUCCAGGCCCUACGGGGUGCAGCAGGCGCGAACACUUUACAAUGCGGGAAACCGCGAUAAGGGAACCCCGAGUGCCAGCAUCAAAUGUUGGCUGUCCAGAUGAUUAAAACUCAUUUGUUAGCAAGGGCCGGGCAAGACCGGUGCCAGCCGCCGCGGUAACACCGGCGGCCCGAGUGGUAACCGUUUUUAUUGGGUCUAAAGGGUCCGUAGCCGGUUUGGUAAGUCCUUUGGGAAAUCUGGUUGCUUAACAAUCAGACUGCCAAGGGAUACUGCUGAACUUGAGACCGGGAGAGGUAAGAGGUACUUCAGGGGUAGGAGUGAAAUCUUGUGAUCCCUGGGGGACCAUCUGUGGCGAAGGCGUCUUACCAGAACGGGUCUGACGGUGAGGGACGAAAGCUGGGGGCGCAAACCGGAUUAGAUACCCGGGUAGUCCCAGCCGUAAACGAUGCUCGCUAUGUGUC